Molecule: ribosomal RNA, 446 nt
Filed under: uncultured bacterium
Lineage: Bacteria
Description: bacterial SSU rRNA
Rfam family: Bacterial small subunit ribosomal RNA
Source: RNAcentral
GCCAGACUCCUACGGGAGGCAGCAGUGGGGAAUAUUGCACAAUGGGGGAAACCCUGAUGCAGCGACGCCGCGUGAGUGAAGAAGUAAUUCGUUAUGUAAAGCUCUAUCAGCAGGGAAGAAAAUGACGGUACCUGAGUAAGAAGCCCCGGCUAACUACGUGCCAGCAGCCGCGGUAAUACGUAGGGGGCAAGCGUUAUCCGGAUUUACUGGGUGUAAAGGGAGCGUAGACGGCCAGACAAGUCAGAAGUGAAAGCCCAGGGCUCAACUCUGGGACUGCUUUUGAAACUGCCGGGCUGGAGUGCAGGGGAGGUAAGCGGAAUUCCUAGUGUAGCGGUGAAAUGCGUAGAUAUUAGGAGGAACACCAGUGGCGAAGGCGGCUUACUGGACUGUAACUGACGUUGAGGCUCGAAAGCGUGGGGAGCAAACAGGAUUAGAUACCCGUGUAU